GCCUAGUUUGACAUCCCAUGCUAUGCAACUGAUUAAAGCUUUAUGCAGCAGUAAGUCUAUCUCCCAAGGGAAACUUGCGAGUACAGAUGGGGAGAAGUGGGUCUCAAUUCCUUGUUCCCUCCCACUCGCUAAACCUCACCUCAAAAAACAAAGGAAAAAAAGUCUGUGUCUUUGUUCCUGGGAGCACAUCUCUGCUCACUUUCAGUCCGACAAAAUACAGCGCCACUCUCAAAAGCGAGUCUUCUCGUCUUGCAUUUCCUGCACUCCUACAUUGUUUGCGGUGCUCUAUCUGUGUGAGAGCAGCCGGAGCAGGGAAUCUGCCCUCAGAACAUGACUGCUCCUCAGUAGGCGGAGUGUGGGUGAAGGUGCACGGCAUCUGCUUUAGACCACGGCCUGAGGCAGAGCAACCGUGGUUUGCAUUUAAAGACGCUAGCAUUCUUUAGCAUCGUUGCUUCCAUGUUGCAGAAGUGAACGACAAAAUAAAAAAGGCUUUGACUAAUUUGUUCGCAAGCGAUGGUGUUAAAAAUGUUUCACCCUAUUUCUAAAAAUAAAAUGAUUCGUAAAUAGAUGCUAUUUAAAACGGAAUAUAUUGAUUCAAUGAGUGCUCAGUGGUUGUUUGCAAUGCAUCUUUUAUUUUAAUUUUAUAUUGUUAAUCACAAAAUUUUAGUGCUGCUUAUCUUACAUGAGAAAAGUUGGUUUGGGUAGAGGCGGUUACAAAAAAAAAAAAAACACCUGAUUCAACUAAUCACAGCCUUGAUUGAUGACUAUGAUUGGUUAAUUAGUUGAAUCGGGUGUAGUAGUGCUCUGCUACAACACAACCCUGCACACAUGCUGGUCCUUCUCAGAUAAGACUGGGGACCUCUGACUUGAGAAUGAGAAAACGACUCAAAUUAAAUUAAUAUUAUU
Anguilla anguilla (European eel) is the source of this 906-nucleotide long non-coding RNA. RefSeq lists it as uncharacterized. The record is from RefSeq and is a predicted model, not a curated record. The transcript has 3 exons. NCBI's taxonomy places the organism in Eukaryota, Metazoa, Chordata, Actinopteri, Anguilliformes, Anguillidae.